Molecule: long non-coding RNA, 13165 nt
Organism: Monodelphis domestica (gray short-tailed opossum)
Lineage: Eukaryota; Metazoa; Chordata; Mammalia; Didelphimorphia; Didelphidae
Source: RefSeq, a predicted model, not a curated record
GUAGCCUCAAGAUUGUACUUAACACUCCGUUCAAGAGCAAAAAGCAGUCGGUGUAGGCACCUCUGUACUACUUGAGUAGUACAAGAGUAGUACUCUUGUACUACUCUGUACUUCCAGAUUGGAUAUUCUUUCUUCUAAGUUUGACAACAUGGAGAUAUGGUAACUGAAGAUCAGGGAAGUGGCUUGCUCAGUCAUAGAGGUCAUCUUAGAGAGGACUCAAACCCAGGCCUUCUGACUUCAAGGAUUUUACUCUUUCUCCUGUGUCACCCAUGAGUAAAUUUAUCUCUGUUCUCCAGAAGAGGAAACUGAUGUACUGGAAAGGGACUCAUGAUAUUCAUGUUGAACACAUGUGGGCAUCCAGUUAGCAUAGUUCAUUGCUUUGGAGAACUCCUGAGCUCAAGAGAUUCCCCCAUCACUAGUCUCUCCCAAGAGCAGAGAUUAGAGGUAAGUCUGCCACACCCAGGACCAAACCUUAAAGUAACAAUGAAAUGAGAUAUAUGCCUGGGAUAAUUAUUGUUUCUCUGACUAUAAUGAGCUUCUUGAAUGGUAUAGUAGAUAAAAUGCUGGAUAUAAAGAGUUAGGAAGACCUGAGCUGAAAUUUGGCUUUAUAUACCUAUGCGACCCUGGGCAAGACCUGCCUCUCUGUACCUCAGUUUCCUCAUCUGUAAAAUGGGGAUGAUAAUUGCACCUACCUCCCAGGGUUGUGAGGCUCAACCCUGUAAACACACAUGUGUAAAGCAUUUUGAAGAACUUAAAGCACUAUAUAAAUGUUAUUACUAUAAUAAUGAUGAUGACAACAAUGGGCAGGACCAUAUCUUUUUCUGUAUCCUCCAAAAUGUCUACUACUAUACAUAGUAGAUACUCUAUUAGGAUUUUCUGAAUAUUGACCAAAUAAAGUCACAGAAUCAUAAUGUGCUAGAACUAGAAGAGGCCUGAGAACCAUUAUCAACAUUAUCUCAUAAUUACAUGGCACUUUAAGGUUUGUAAAGCAUUUGCCUUACAAACAACCUUGUGAAGUAAAGUCAUAAAAUAUUUAUUAUCUCCAUUUGACAGAUUAAGAAACAGGCUAAGAGUCAGAACUGGACGGAGCCAGCAAAUAUAAAACAGCAGAAUUAUAAGGGACCUUAGAAUGGAGACUGGAGAAUAUUGGAGUUGGAAGGGAUAUUAGAACACAGAAUAUAAAAGAGUAGAAUUGGAAGAGAUCUUAGAAUGUAGAAUAUAAAAUUCAGGGGUUGGAUAAGCCCUUACAACCAACAACCAACAUAAAGCAGAGAAUGUCAGUGCUGAAAGGGACCUCAGCAAAUAUGUCCAGGACUUUAUGAAUACAUCUGUGACCUUUAGCUGGGACUGAGUUUAUAACAGAACCUUAAUAAGGUCUUUUAAUGUGCAAAAAUAAAAAAUUCAAGUGUAGUAACAAGAAAAUAACAUCUUGUGACUAUUCCUAUCCUCCUCCCAUUUCUUCAUACAAAUGCUAAAUUUGUUCCCAUUGUGGAUAUAUUUGGAAAGAGGCUUGCGAGAGGGGAAUGAAUAAGGUGCCCACAAAAACUCAAAAAUAGACAUGCAGUGAAUAGUCAGACCUCGGGCUUCCAAUCUGUGCCACGGAGCUACAAGAAUGAAAAGGCUUGUUUCGGAAACCUCCUCACAAUGAAGGCCGAAAGGCAGCCGAUGACUACUUGGCACAGAUUGGGUCCAUUAAAAGCAAUUAUGCGGCAAUGAGAAAAGGCCAGCCUGUGACUAUCCAGCCUGCAAGGCUGUGUGUGGUAGUGUUUAUUGCCUGAGCUCCCGAGUGUGGGGUGGAUGACUGUCAAAUCAUGUGAAGACCUGCAACCCCCGGGAUGACACUGGGCAACAGGAUCCCUUUUGAGCAGGGACAGGGGAAGGGAAGCAGAGGUCAAUGCUCUUCUCAUUCUUUUUCUUCUUCCCGUUACACAGGAAGCCCAGUCACAUUGGCUUGGCAUAAAUUCAAGAGGUUAGCUAAGGAUUUAUGAGGUUGAGGUGCUAAAAAAGAGAAAGAAAGGGAAAAAAAUGGAUGGGAAGAAAUUAAAAGUGGAACCAGAAAGGCUGGAAAAACUAUGGUCAACCUGUAGCUGAGGGCCUGGCUCCUUUUUUCUGACAUCAGUCCCAAAAGUAAGCCAGCUUCUUGUAUAUUCUCAGAGUGCUCUUCCUUAUAAUCCCAAUAAUGUGGCUGGCAACAAGGGAUAGGAAAUAGGGAAGGAACAAUCUUGGGCAAGAGAAAGAGGGUGGCUGAAAGAUUACAGUAACACCAGCUUAAAGUGAGCAUGUGAAUAGUCCUAAGCAAGAAAUACUAGGUAAUAAUGCCUUCACUAUAUUGAGAAAGAUCUGAUUCUAAAAGGUCUCAGAGCAGCUGGUGGUAUAAUGAAUAAAGUUCUAGCCUUGGACUCUGGGCAAGUCCUUUAACCUCUGUCUUAGUUUUCUCUGUAAAGUGAGGAUAAAAAUGGUAGCUACCUCUCCUGAUUGUUGUGAGGAUCAAAUGAAAGGAUAUUUGUAAAGCCCUCAGCACAAUGCCUGACAUAUAACAGGUACUUAAUAUAUGUUAACUGGAUUGGAUUACCACUAGGGUAAAUUAUAAACUCCUGUUUGGAUUUUUUUGGGAAACCCUUAUAUUCUCCAUUAGUAUCAAUUAUAAAAUAGAAGCAAGGCAAAGGCUAGGCAAAUGGGGUUAAAUGAUUUGUCCAGGAUCACACAGGAAGAAUCUGAGGUCAGAUCUGAACCCAAAUCCUCCUUACUUUAGGCCUGGCUCUCUAUCCAUUGUACUACCCAGCUGCCCUGUUGUUUGAUUUUUAAAACCCUUCACAACCUGGUCUCCAUCAAUAUCCAUUAUUUUAAUUUCUUUCCUCUUUGGUCCAAGCCAAAUUCACCUUGUUUCUUUUCCUCCCAUUCAGCAUUCAUUCUCUCACUUCCAUGUCUUUACCCUGGUUGCUGGUCAUUCCUUCCUCUUUUCCAUCUCACAGAACCCUUCAUUUCCUUGAAGAUUUUACUUUAGUAGCACUCUAGAUGAAGCUUCUUUUGGCCCAUUCCCCAAGUUCUAUCGUUUUCCCUUUCUAAACUACUUUGUACUUAUUUUUUUAAAUUCUCUAUAUACUAAUAUGUAUGUGUGUAUUUUCUUCCUUGAAAAAAAUGUAAGUUUCCUUCUAUGUACACCCAAUACUUAACUUAAGUAAUAAUACUGCAUGCCUAGCAUGCAGUAUUGCUUAAUAAAUGACUGCUUCACAGCUACAUGGAGUGUGUAAAGAUUAUAUUUAUCCAUGAGCAAGUGACUAUUUAUGCCCUUGAGUAAUGCCUACCCUCCAUUUUAUCAGGGAGAAUGAAAUAUUCUGUAAAAUAAUAAAAUAAAGGCUUUAAUAUAAAAACUAAAGAGUGUCUUAAGGGGUAGAGGGAAAUCCUGAUCUUUGUCAGGAGGAUAGAAAGUGGAAGAAUGUGACAGAGCAAAAAGGGAAGAAAAGUAAAAAUGUGACACAGUGAAAACAUAAGGAGGAUUGAUAAUACUUGAAGCUGAGAAACAAAUCUCCCUCAAGAGCUGGGUACCUUGUGGAGGAAGCAGAUUUUUUUUCUCUAAGGAAUGAUGACAAAGAUCAGAGGUGUCAAACACUUAGUUCACAGCACUCUUGUUGUUGUUGUUGUUAUUCAGUCAGGUUAGACUCUUCAUGACCCCAUUUAGGUUUUUCUUGGCAGAGAUUAUAGAAUGGUUUGCCAUUUCUUUCUCCAGCUCAUUUUACAGUUGAGGAAAUUGAGGAUUAAAUGACUUGCCCAAGGUCACAAAGUCAGUAAGUGUCUGAGGCCAGACUUUAACUCAGGAAGAUGAGUCUUUAUGACUUCAGAUCUGGCCCUUUAUCCUCUGUGCUACCUAGUUGCCUAGCUGCCCUGCAAUGCUCUUCUCAAGUACAGUGUCCUUCAAGAGAUCUUUUUUUAAAAAUUCCCUUGGUUGUUAGUACCUUUCCUAAUCAAUCACCUUGUACUUAGCUUGUAUCUGUGAAUAUGUGUCCCCUAGUAGAAUGUAAGCCCCUUUAAGGUAGGGACUAGCUCACUUUUGUCUUCGUGUUCCAGUACCCAAUAUAGUGCUUGGCACAUAGUAGGUACUUAAUAAAUGCUUACAAUGGCAGCUGGGUGACAUAGUGGAUAGAGUACUGGGGCUGGAGUCAGGAAGACCUGAAUUUAAGAAGGACCAAGCCUUUUUCAAUUUCCUCAACUAUAAAAUGGGAUAACAACAGCACCUGCUUCACAGGGUUGUUGUGAGAAUCAAAUGAAAUAAUAUUUGUAGAGUGCUUAAAACAGGUCCUGGCACAGAGUAGAUGCUUAAUAAAUGAUUAUUUCCUUUCUACUGAUUAUCAUGCUUUUGACUUAAUCUGUUUCUACUUCCAUUCAUCUUAACUAAAAUGCUCUCUACCAAUUUGUCCCAGAAUUUUUCAUAAAAUUCAUUUCCUUAAUCUUCAGUGAAUACUUCCUCCCCUGCUCCCAUCUAGCCACAUGAAUCACGAGGAGUAGAUAGCAUUCACCUGUUUUUGCAAAUUUUCAAAGUGUCUCUCAUAUUUUGUGUGUGCCUUCUGAGGAUGGAAGACAUUGAUACUAUUGUUGAGUUGCCAAAUAGCUGUCUCAGUAUUCCAUAGCAUGGAUUCAAAAGUCAUAAGUAUUUUUCUCUUCUUCUUCUGACACUUAUUGGUUGAUUGUCCUGCCUCCACCCUGACUAAUUGGGAGUGCCAUACAUAGUCUGUUAAUAUCUAGGGCCUGGGUUCCCUUAAUGUUUUACUUUAUUCCUACCCAGAGUAUCUAUUUUGUAGUUCUAGAAUCAUAAUCAAACUUGUACAGCCAUUGUGACUGAAAAAAGUAUAUUUAACUACUCCCCUAUAACAUAUGAGAAAGAACACUAUCCACAUUCAGAGGAAGAAUUGUGGGAAUAGAAACACAGAAGAAAAACAACUGCUUGAUCACAUGGGUCGAUAUGAUUGGGGAUGUAGACUCUAAGCCAUUACCCUAGGGUAAUUAUCAAUAAUAUAGAAAUAGGUCUUGAUCAAUAAUACAUGUAAAACCCAGUGGAAAUGCGCAUCAGCUAUGGGAGGGGGUUGGGGGGAAAGGAGGUAAAGAACAUGAAUCUUGUAACCAUGGAAAAAUAUUCUAAAUCAACUAAUUAAAUAUAAUUUAAAACCUCAAUUCUUAAAAUAGUGCUUGACAAAUGGCAACUCAAACACUCCAAUAUUCAUUCACUCAUAAAGUAAAAAAUGGCAGUUGUGACUUGUUACUCAGGUCCUGAUUUUAAAUUCAGGGCCCUCCCUGUGCCCCUGAUAUAGGCCUCCAGCUGUGUGACCCUGGGCAACUCACUUAACCCCAAAUGCCUAGCCCUUACUGCUAUGCUGCCUUAGAAUCGAUACCUAGUAUUGAUUCUAAGACAGAAGGUAAGGAUAUAUAUAUAUAUAUAUAUAUAUAUAUACACACACACACAUACAUAUAUAUAUAUAUAUAUAUAUAAAGCUAACCAAUAUCACCAAAAGAGACAGUAUAUACAUAGCUAAAAUACUCCACCUCUGCAAAGAAGGGGAGGCAGUGUAUUCUCAUGGCCAAGUUUACUUAAUAUAAUUAUGUUCAGUUCUCAGUUGUGAUUAAAAAAAUAAUAGCUACCAUGUUAUUAAAUGAGAAUUAUUUUAAGCAUCAUUUUUGAAGGAAUUUUAUUCAAAUCAACAAUAUUACAUGUGUAAAAAGGAAUUCUUUACUUCUUUUUUUUAAUUUAAUGGGGACCUGGAGGCCCUCUUAUCAGAGAUGUGUAAGGAUUAACCAGCCCACAAUGACAGGAAGUAGAAACCAUAGAGACAGGAAGGAGAAACCAAAGAGAUAAGAAGUGAGGUUGAAAAAGGGUAUAAAAGGUGUUCAGCUGCUGACAGUUGGGGCUGGCAGUUGGCAGUCAGUUACUGACAAUGAGGGUGGGCAGUUAGCUGCUGGGUGUGAGUUGGUGGUUGGUGUUUAGUUGCUGGAAUAUAAAGGCAGGCCUGAGCUCACUGAGAAAACUUUUUGCCUUUUAGAUUUUUGGCUUUUGGUUUGGGCUGUUAGGGCUUUUUCUUUUCCUUGAACUUUUUGGAAAAUGACUGGUCUUUGUUAUCAGACUUAAUUGGGGUUGAAUUAAACACCGAUUGGGUUGGAACUUUUGUGGGGUGAUUGUUAUUAGUGGUAAUUACAGGCAGAUAUAGGUAAAUAUAGGCAGUUUUAGAUAGUAAUUAUAAGUAGUUAUAGAUAGUUACAGGAUAACUAGUAUAGACAUUAAGAAAUUUCUUUCUCUACCUCUUUCCUAUAUUUCUCUCUUUUACUAUAUUAAUUUUACUAUAUUCUUUUACUAUCUUUAUUUUAAUAAAACUAAAUUGUUAAUUGUUAAAAGCUGCUAGAAGUUUUCUUUUCUCUGGCUUAAAGGGAUAAUAUUAAUUUACAACUCUACUAUAUUCUCAUUAAAACGUGAGUUAUUAAAAGCUGCUCUCUUAUUUUGUCAAAACCCCUAUUUUAAUCCUUACACAAGCAACUCAGAAUAUUUAGUGACAAGUAUGAAAGUGUUAAACAGAGGAGACAUGGCUUAUAUAUCAGUGUGACUUCGUAGCUAAAAAAAAAAAAGUAAUUUGGUGGUAACAUUCCACAAAUCAUAGAUUAUAGAACACAGGAGGGUAAAUCUAACUGGACUCUGCUCUAAUCAAAUCACACUUUGCGUGUGUAUUCCAUUUUGGAUACCCCACUUUGGGAAGAACAAGCUAUAGCACAGCCUCAAGAGGGCAAUCAUGAUGGUGAAGGGACCUCAAAUCAUUACACAUGAGAAUUGGCUGAAAGAACUGAGUAUGUUUAACCUAACAGGUUGCUGAAAGCAUAUCUUCUAUAUUUGGUACAUGAAUUAGAUUUGUAAAUUUUUUUAAUGGCCAGAGUUUUGUCUAUUAGUAUUUUUGCUUAUUUUCUUCAAAUUUCCUGUUUUUACUCAGUUAUCCAUAAAAAGAACUGGUAUGAUACAUUUACAUUAUAAAAAUUAAGAAUAUAAAAGGACACUGGUUAUUUUACAUUCAUUCUGCUAUAAGAGAUCAAAUUAUCUUAGGUUUUAUACUAUUGGACACAUUAGAAAAUCAAUUCUAGAUCAAUAAGAAGCCAACUUUAGGGUCAUUUGAGUGGUUUCAAUAAAUUUCUUAUAGAUAUAAUUAUUAGCUGAAUGUCUAUGGCAAAUGGAUAUAUUACAAAUUCAUGUUAUCCAACCUGAAUUGGAACCUUGUUGUAGCAAGAUAAUUCUUAUAUUCCAGACCCGCCUCCCACAUCAACUGAUUUCCUAUUUCCUCUUCACAGAAGCUAUGACAAAUUGUCUCUUCUCAAACUUUUUAUAUUAUCCCUCUCCCCAAUCUUUCAGCUGGGGACUUUGUCUCACUUAAACGAGAAAAUUGAGGCCCAACAUAAGCACCUUCUCCCACCUUCUCUUCAGGCCAAAGCCCCUUGAUGUCAUAUUCCACUCUUUCUGCCUUUCCCCCAGUUUCUGACAAAGAGAUAGUCCUUCUUCCUGCUAAGACCAACCUCUCUGCUUGUAUAAUUGAUCCCAUUUCUGCUUGUUUUCUAUAGGAGGCUGCAUCCUCAAUUAUUCCUACUUCUCUAAUCUCCAAACCUGUCCCUAUCUACUAGUUUUUUUUUCUAUUGUCUUCAAGAAUUCCAUUUAUCCAAUUAAAAAAACGAUCAUAUUUUAUUAUAUUUCAUGUUAUUAUCCAUAUCUUUCCUUUUUUUCUUAGUCAACUGCCCUAAAUAAGCUUUUUACACCAACUGCUUCCAUCUCCAUUCUCACUCCUCAACCCUUGAUAAAUUAGUUCCUCAGCUAAUCAAUCAACUGAAAUUGAUUUCUCCAAAGUUACCAGUGAAGCUUUAACUAUUAAAUAUGAUGGUUGUUUUUGAUUUGAGUCCUUCUAGACCUAUCUGCUGCAUUUGAUACUGCUGACCACACUUUCCUUGUGGAUAUUCUGUCCUGGGUUUUUAUAACCCUGCUCUUUCCUGUUUUUCCUGUUUCUUACCUGUCUGACAACUUCUCAGUUUCCUUGCUGACUCAUCACCUAAAUCAUGCCUUAUAACUGUGGAUAUAUCCCAAGGUUCUGACCUAGGUCUUCUUCACUUCUCCCCCUAUACUUUCACUUAGUAACUGUAGCAGCUUCCAUGAGUUUAACUAUCAUCUCAAUGCAAUCAACUCAUAAACACAUAAAAAUGCAGCCCUGGUUUCUCCCUCAAGCUUCAGUCUCCCUCAAGCUGCAUUAGCCUACCAGGCUUUUCCAACUGGAUAUCCCAGAUACAUCUCAAAUUCAACAUAUACAAAAUAGAACUUAUUAUCUUUCUCCCUAAAACAUACCUUCUUCCAAAUUUCCUGGUUUUUAUAAAAGUACUGUCGCCUUUCCAGGCUUUCAGGUUUAUAAAUUCAGUAUUAUCCUCAACUCCUUGCUUUCUUACCCCAUAUAUACAAUCAGUUGCCAAAUCUUGCCAUUUCUAUCUUGUCAAUGUCUCUUGUAUUCAAACUCUUAUCUUACCUACCAUCUUAGUCUGGGUCCUCCCCUAGAUUAUCUAAUAGUAUCCCAAUUAGUCUCCCUAUCUCAAGUUUUCCCCCCAUUUCAAACUAUACUACACAUUACUGCUAAAAUAAUUUUCCUUAUGUGUAUAUCUGUCCAGAUGAUUUCUCUAGCCAAUCAGUACCAGGGACUUCCUAUUAUCUAAAAUAAAAUAUAAUAUAAAUUUCUCUGUUUAGUUUUUAAUGCUGGACACAAUCAGGCUCCAAUCUAUCUUUUAUGUCAAGUCAAACAUUUAUUAAGUGCCUAGAAUGUGCCAGACACUGUGCUAAAUGCUAAGGAUUCCCCCAAACCAUAAGAAAAGUCUUUAUCCUCAAGGAGAUCCCAGUCUGAUAGGGGAAAAAAACAGGUUAACACGAUUUAGAGAUAAUUAACAGAGGGAAGGUGCUACCUUAUUAAGGGAGAUUUGGAAAAGCUUCUUGAAGAAGGUGGGAUCUUAGCUGAGACAAAGAUGAGGAAGGAGAACAUUUCAGACAUGGAAUAAAAAUGCAUGUGAAAAAGUUAGUGAAAAUGCAUGAAGUUGGGAGAUGGAGUGUGUUUCUAGCCUCAUUAACAUUACUCCCUUUCCCAUACUCUGAGAAUCAUGUAACAUGGCCUUCUCUCUGUUCCCCUCACUGUUCAAUAAGGGAAGAAUGAUCAAAGAAUAAACAUGGUUUGAAAACAACUACCAUAGAAACACGGAAAUUGAUGUAUUGUUAGUCAACAAUAUAGCUGUAUAGAAUUGCAUUCAAUUUGGCAUUGUUGAAAUCACUGGACUUGAAGUCAGGGGAGAUAUCUGGGUUCUAAUCUUAUAAAACUUACUACAACCACAGGCAAGCCAUUUAACCUCUCAUCAUCUUGGUUUUAUCAUUUGUAGCUCCAAACGCACAGGGUUUCUAUGAGGACCAAAUGAGACAAUGCAAAUAAACUUUACUAAAACCUAAAAAUAAUAUAGAAAUGCUAGCAGUAUUGUUACUGGGAGGUAGUCUAAGAACACUGGGAUUAGAGUCAGGGGAACAGAAUUAGAAUCCAGGCCUUCCAAUUAUCUAAUGUGAUUAAAAACAAACAAAAAACCUCCCUUAUUUCUGUCUCUGUUUCAAUUCUAAGACAGAAGAGGGGCAAGGACUAGGGAACUGGGGUUAAAGGACUUGCCCAGAGUCACACAGCUAAGAAGUAUCUUGAGGUCAAAUUUGAGUACAAGUCCUCCUGACUCCAGUUCUAAUGCUCUAUCCACUGUGCUACCUAGCUGUCCCUAUUUAUGUGAUCUUGGGGGAAAAAAAAACACACCCUUCCCUGUUCUAAGAUCAAGUUUCAUUAUAUGCUAGGUCUAAUAUUUUAUAUUUUAAGGUUUUAAGGACUCCUUCCUGUGACAUGUUUGAUUUAAGAUCCUUUCUGAAUUUUAUAUUCUCAGUUCACAUCUUGCCUUCAAAUCUAAGGACCAAAGUUUAUUUCAUCUACUAGUCAGUUGACAGAGAAGAAAUAAAAAUCUCUUCCUGGUAAAGUCAGUCCCAACCACCACAUUUGCUUAAUGGUUUGAGGAUUACUGGUGCUUGGUCAAUCCAGGUAGAAAGUUUACAAAAUAGGAACUGGGCUCCUAUUCUGCCAGAGUUGAAAAGUAAGCACUCAUCUUGGGAAAGCUUUUCAAAUAAAAUGGCUAUUGUUUCAUAGCAGUCUUCAGGUUCAAGGGACAGAACAUGUUGGUCCUUCUCAGUCCAGAACAACAGGCUGACAUUACCAGCCCAGUUCCAGAGAUCCCGUGCAUGACGCAUACUCUGUGACUCAAGAUCAGUGUCAACAGCAUUGGAAAACACAAAGUUUGGGGGUGGGGUGGGGUGAUAAAGACACACAGCCAUAAGGUACUCAGAGGGAGCAAACAUGAAAAGAUGUUGCAGUUACAAUAUCAUACUGUCCUUCCAUUUCCCCCCUCCCCAUCCUCCAAAAAAAGUAUUUCUGGAAACCAUUUAUGCAUUUGAAUAGAUCUAGGCCAGUGGUUCUCAACCUUUCUAAUGCUGUGACCCUGCAAUACAGCUCCUCAUGUUGCGCUGACCCCAAGCCAAAAAAUUAUUUUGGUGGCUCCUUCAAAACUGUAAUUUUGCUACAGUUAUGAUUCGGAAUGUAAAUACCUGAUAUGCAUUAUGGAUUCUCAUUGCUACAAAUUGAGAGGUUGAGAACCGCUGAUCUAGGGGAAACUAACCUGGGCCAAUGAUGGAACUCAGCGUGAAAUGCAUCAGAAAUCAAGAACCAGGAGUGAUUUUUCUUUUUCACUUGUAUAAAAUUCUAGUUUCUCCAAGUUUACUUGAAAUCAGGGAAAAGGCUUUGCCAGCAGUUGAUACUUUACUAUGGAAAACCAGUUAGUAGGUGGGCUGAAAUUUGCAAAAGGAAAAAAAAUUCAGAAAAACAUAGAAUUUAGAACUAGAUCAAAAUGCUUUCAUUUUAAAGAUAAAGAAAAUGAGACCCAGAGAGAAAACUAGCCCACAGUCAUAAAAGUAGUAAGUGGUAGUUAGAAGUCCAACCUAUCCUCUGGCAGCAAAUCCAGUAUUUUCUCUAUUGUACCAAUAGUUCAAAUACAGGAAUGGGUGCUUAUACAACAAAAGGCAAAAACAAGUUUUCUUAUAUAAUUUCUUUUUUCUGUUCUACUUUGCAUAAAGAUAUGCACAUUUUAAUCUGGUGUUUGUUAAGAUUAGACUAAAAAAGCCCAACCCAUCUUCAUCAGGAAAAAUAGGAAAAAUUUGGAGAUUGUGCAUGCAUAAUAGGAGUUAGGAAAAGAAGCAGUGUGAUCUCCUGGAAAGAGCUCUGGACUUGAAGUUAGAAGACCUGGGUAUGAGUUCUAGUUCUAACUGAGUGAUUUUCAGGAAGUUAUUUUCCCCUCUCUGAAUAAUUCCUCCCUCUCCCAUUGAAAUAUUUGGAAUGUUGUUAAAAAAUCAAACGUGAUGGUACACUUAUGUAAAGCACACUGUAACCAUGAGCAAUAUGUACAAUUAUUAUUUGGGAUCACAGAACUGGCAAUGUGGUAAGUCAGGAGGAUACUUACCCCCCCCCCCCCCCCUAUAAACCAAACCAAACCAUGGGGGAAAACUUUCCACCUGUUAAGAUGCUUGGAAUUCCACCUAACUGAAGAAUCCUAGGUAAUAACUCAUCUGCAAUGUAUACUUUAGUGUGAAGCGUUUUCUUCAAAUAAUAAAAUUGGAUCUCAUUAAUUAGGGAGUUCCUGCCAACAAUGCUGUUGGCAACCUGUCCAUGCUGCCUGUUCUUUACAGCUCUUGUCCAAAACCUUACAACAAUUUAUGGGGGAGGAGGAUUCUCCCAACAUGCCUUUGCUUUCUCCUGGCAUAGGGAGAGUGCCAGGGGAGCUUUUUGGCUGGCUGUGCUUGUUAUCAUAACCUGUCCUUCUUUUCUUCCUAUCGUUCAACUUUUUGAUGAAGUGUUUAAUAAGAUUCUUUUCAAAUUGUUGCUCCAUGCAAAAGGGGAAAAGAACAGUCAUUAAGUUCAAAGUUGGUAGGUCAUGGAGGAUAUACUUAGAAUUGGCUGAGCCCUUAGAGAUCAUUGAGUAUAACCCUCUCAUUUCAUGGAUUGGAAAAAUGUGGCCCAGACAAAGUGACUUCUCUUUCCUACACAUGUAAAAAGUAAAUGAUGGAGCCAGUUGAGAAGAAGCAAUAAGGAUUCUAUUCCUAAUUCUAGAUGCAGUGAUCUUUCAACUAUGCCAUGUUGCUCAUUGAGGAAAAUUCUGUCUGGGAGUAUAGAGCACUAGUGAAGGCCAAGAUCAGGCUCAUGCAUACUAGAGGAGCACUGUUGAAAAUGUCUGGAUGAGAAUUCUCAAUGUGUUUUGCUUUAGAUUCGCUUUCAAAAAUAAUCACAAUCUAUUUUUUCUAUAAUGCUUUAGAGGUUUAUAAAGCACUUUCCUUAUAAUGAUCCUCUUGUGGUUAGGAGUAUAAGAAUUGUUACUCUCCAUUUUCUAGAUAAGAAAACCAAGGCUAAGAGAACAGCAGAGACUUCCACUUUCAGUCAUAUGAAGAUAAGCCUCAAACCCAAGUCUUUUGUCUUGAAGUUUAGUACUCAUUCCACUACACUACUCUGUCACUAGAUAAUAGCUAUGAUGUAAAGACAAUGCUACAUAGUUUACAAAAGCCCUAUAUAUAGCAGUAGCUUCUAUGGUUUUCAUCUGGUAGGGGACAGGAGACUUCUAGAGGUUUUUGCACAGAUAGUAAGAUGAACAGGCUUGUACAUUAGGAAGAUUAUGCUGGCAGCUAUAUAAAGGAUGAAUCGGAAAGGGAAUAGAUAAGGUCAGAGGAAAUUAAAGACAAAUUCAAUAGUUUAGGGUAAAAAAAGCUAAGGCCUGAAAGAAUGGUUCUAGUGGGAAGGGAGAAGAGGAACCAUAAAGAACUAUUCUGGAUGCAGAGAUUACAGGUCUUGGCAAGUUAUUUGAUUCUCACAAUUAUUCUAUGAGAUAGGUAAUACCACCUAUUUCCAUAUCCCCUUUUAUUUUUAAAACCGCACCUUCUAUCUUAAGAGUUGAUACUAAGUAUCAGUUUCAAGGCAUAAGAGGGGUAAGGACUGAGCAAUGGGGGAUAAGUGACUUGCCCAGGGUCACACUGCUAGGGAAUUCCUUAAGUCAAAUUUGAACCCGG